Molecule: long non-coding RNA, 4314 nt
Filed under: Brassica napus (rape)
Lineage: Eukaryota; Viridiplantae; Streptophyta; Magnoliopsida; Brassicales; Brassicaceae
Description: long non-coding RNA (BNAP_LNC016798)
Source: RNAcentral
UUAAUAAUGCAAUCGGAUGAACAGCUGAUAAUCAGCGAUAAUCUCUUCUCCGUUGUGUAGAUUUACUCGAGCCGAUCACACGUCCGGCUCCAGUUUCUAGGGCUUGGUUUAGGAUUUUGAAUUGUUUUAGCUCGGAGGUCUAUGAUGAAUGCAUUGUCUAUUAGCUGUGUAUUUCAUUUUCUGUUGGCUAUGGUGCUGGAAUGUGAUGUGUGAAUCUUUGAGUUUUGUAGUUUAUGGAAGUAAGAUAGUCAAUCAGGGCGGGCGUAAGCAUUUUCACUAUGCAUCCGAAGGGAUCGAGUCAAGGAGAUGGUUCGGAUACUAAGCCCGUUAGAAGCAGCGAUAGGCUUAGGAGGAGACCUAAAUUGUAUGGUCGCUCAUACUAUUACUACUCGCCGAACUUGCAUAACAGGAAAAGAAACACGAAGACUAGAACGGCGGCUUCGCAGAUCGCUAAGAUGCUGCAUAAAGGGAACAAGCCAGCUCGGGCAUCGAACGCCACGGUGAGCAUCAUACACCAACGUUAAGAAGAGUUAAUGUUAUUUAGUUUACUGCAAUUAAGAGCAUUUCUACUUCCCCUGAGUAUGAAGUUUCACUUUGAUCAUUUUAAUCCAACGAUAGUGGCUUUUGUUCUAUUAGUGACCUGUAUUGCAUACUGUUUAUCUUGGUCUGAUUAAACUAGAAUGUUGAUAACAUUGCUAAUGACGAUACAGCCAAUUGCAUCCGACCUCCGGCGUUCCACUAGGAAGAGAAGACUUUCUGUAAAUCUUGAAGACUAUACUGACAGUUCUGGAGGGGAGGAUGAAGAUAUGAUGGUCAGGAUAUUUUCCUCUUGAUUAUUUUAAACCCUUGUAAAUAUGAAUUUUGUUGGUAAAUUCUUUAUCCCCAUCUCUGAAGAUAUCCAACUUUGGUUGUUAGUUGUUACUCUUUCUCUGCAAUUUUGGAUUGCAACCUUGUUUCUAUCUGAUGUCUUAGUAUUUAAUCCUGUGAUGGAAGUGCUAAUGAAUGCAUCUUUAUAUGUAUGAAUGAAUCUUUAGGCUUUGCCUUAAUGCAUGGACAGCUCACGGGGAAAGAACUGGUGGUUUUUAUGCCUGCAACCGGUAUGAGUCGGCUAAGCAAGAAGGACUGGUAGGACCACUUCUACUUCUUUGAUAAUUUGUAGUAGUAUUUUCUGUAAGUUACUUAUGACUUUUAGUACUUUGUUUGUUGAUAUCAAUUGAAUUGUUCGUUUUUAGUAUGAUGAGGCUGAAAAGAGGAGAGAGAUGGCAAAAAAUUCACUCGAGAGAUACACUCAUUAUUAUGAACGCUGGGCAAGUAAUCAGACGGUAUGCACAAUUUUUUUAUACUUAUCCCUUAAGACACUUGAAACCUUAAAGUGUUGUAUACGCUCUACUUUUGUUUCUAAGAUAGAGAAUCAUGAGAUAUUUUGACUUCCGGCUGUGAUAAAUAGCAUUGUAAUGAGCUUUGACAAGAUAAAAAAAAUUUGUAGCAUGUUGGAGCUAACUUGAUUUUUUAUUUGGUUUUCCUUGUUUGUGAGCAUCGAAAAUGUGAAACAUGUGAAGGGUGUGGUUGAGUAAUCGCUUUUUACUGACAUGUAUCUUCUAGUUUAUAAGGUGAACCAACUAAUGUAUUUUUAGGCUAUUAACAGCCCAUUAACUAGAUAAGUUUAGAGUCUCGUUUCUUACUUGGCUGCAACACUUGCAAGACAUUAUAUUCUAUACCUAUGUCAAGAGAUUUCUCGUCUUCCUUUCAUAUGUAUUUACUUGCUUGUCUGAUUUGGCAGUCGAGGCAAAAAGCUGUGGAGGAUCUGCAGAAAGCGCAAUUGGAGAAGGUAAAAAAAUUCUAUGGAGUGGAAGAAUGAUUUGAGCUAACAGCUAAUUUCAUUUGCAACACCAAAUUGUAUCCAGACCUUUAAUAGGAACUGCAGUGUUGUUACAUUGUUGAUUUUGAUUUGAAUUUGUGGUGCUCAAAUGCUGUUGUCAAAUUUUUCUUGUUGUUUUGCUAGCUUGAGAAGCUUAGUGACAUUCAAUGCACUCCAGAAUCUCAGCUGAAGUUCAUCACAGAGGCGUGGCUUCAGGUUAGCAGCUAAAGUAUUAAAUAACUAUGACAUUUAUGUACCACAUCUCUCUGAAUGUUCCCCCUCCAUUAUACCUUUACAGAUCAUUGAAUGCAGACGUGUACUGAAAUGGACAUAUGCGUAUGGAUACUAUCUACCUGAUCACGAUAAGAAACAAUUUUUCGAAUACUUGCAAGGUCAGAGUCCUCAUUAGUUGAUUCUAUUCUGGGAAAGCUAGUUGUGUCAGUGAGCCAUUGAAGUUUGAAAUUUUGUCUUGAUGGUUUGAUCAGGGGAGGCUGAGUCAGGUUUGGAGAGGCUCCACAAAUGCGUAGAGAAGGAACUGGAGGUGUUUUUGAAUGCUGAAGGCUCUUCAGAUAACUUCAAUCAUUUCCGGACAAAGUUAACUGGUUUGACCAGGUGAUUGUUCUUCUUGUCUUUUAAUCAAUUCAGACAGAUGAAGAUAGACUCUUAUGCUUACUUAGGAUGAGUAACGUUUAGAUCAGUUGUUCCAUCUCUGUAGUCAGAUACUGUCAUAGGUUUAGAUGAACUAGUUGAGACGUUUUAACAACCAUAUAAAAUGCUAACUGCAAUGGCUUGUAUAUUUGUAUAAACAGCAUAACGAAAACCUACUUUGAAAAUCUGGUGAAAGCUCUGGAGAAUGGUCUUGCUGAUGUGGAUGCUACGCAAGGGGCUAGCAGCAAAUCAACAAGCUCUAAAUCUAGCAAGACAAAAGGCGGUGGGAAAGGUAAAGGAAGCUACAAAAGUAAAAACUCAGAUGGAAAUUGAGAUCUCUCUCAGGUUCCAGUUACAAUCCCUCUCUAUAGUGUGCCAGCUCACUUGGAAGUAAAAGAAAAGACUUUUUAAGAGUUAGUUGAGCAAAAUUGGAGAAAGGAUUGGGGUUUGUUGCAGUAUUUUUACAGUAGCCUCCUCUGAGUUUGAAGGCACACUAUUGCACACACAAGUGAACUGUCUUUCUCUGUCUUAUGAGUGUGCAAUAGUUUAUUAUAAACUACCCUAAAUGUUGUAUAGUAUAAAAGAAUAUUCACAUUGUUACGUUGGCUCUUUGAUUGCCUUUAUUGGCUUUCUCUGCUAAUGCAAUGUCUAUGAACACCAACUGGAGUGUCUUUUGUCUGAAGUUUCUCCAUGUCGAGAAAUGCAUCUUUGUAUUAUUAGUCUCUUCAAAAACAUCUCAAGAAAGUUCAAAAUCUGCUACUUUCUGUGGGUUGCGUUACAAUAAUAAUAUUUUCCUACAAUAAAUAACUGUUUCUAUGUGAUAUAUAACCAAACCUUUGGGUUUAAGAAGUGUUGUUAAUCAUCAUAUUAAUUUAAGGUAACUAUUAGUUCCUUAUUUAAAGUUAUAGGGUCAAUAUAUAAUAUAAGAUAAUAUUGAGGGAGCUAUUUCUAAAUAAUUCAAACUUGUAAGGAGAAUAUCCUCGGACUAGGAAAGCCAGGGAUAGAGAUAUCCUGACUUCCAAACAGGGAGUGAGGGAAACAAAAUUUAUUAAAGCAGCAGCCGGAAAAAAAAACAAAAAAACAAAAAGAAAGAAAGAAAAAAAAAAAACGCAAGAAGAAGAAGAAGAAGAGCAACGAAGACGAACCAGUCUCCCACUGUCACGCCUCUCGAUCUUUCUCCCCUUUCACCUUCCUCCAAUCUCCAGGUUCUUUCGCGUCUUCACGUCUAUCACCAAUCCGUUACGCUUGCUCGAUUUCGCAUUAUCUCUCCGUUUGCUUGAUUUUGGCUCCUCUUUGAGCUCUGUUAGCUUAAUAAUGCAAUCGGAUGAACAGCUGAUAAUCAGCGAUAAUCUCUUCUCCGUUGUGUAGAUUUACUCGAGCCGAUCACACGUCCGGCUCCAGUUUCUAGGGCUUGGUUUAGGAUUUUGAAUUGUUUUAGCUCGGAGGUCUAUGAUGAAUGCAUUGUCUAUUAGCUGUGUAUUUCAUUUUCUGUUGGCUAUGGUGCUGGAAUGUGAUGUGUGAAUCUUUGAGUUUUGUAGUUUAUGGAAGUAAGAUAGUCAAUCAGGGCGGGCGUAAGCAUUUUCACUAUGCAUCCGAAGGGAUCGAGUCAAGGAGAUGGUUCGGAUACUAAGCCCGUUAGAAGCAGCGAUAGGCUUAGGAGGAGACCUAAAUUGUAUGGUCGCUCAUACUAUUACUACUCGCCGAACUUGCAUAACAGGAAAAGAAACACGAAGACUAGAACGGCGGCUUCGCAGAUCGCUAAGAUGCUGCAUAAAGGGAACAAGCCAGCUCGGGCAUCGAACGCCACG